RNAcentral lists this ribosomal RNA (960 nucleotides) under uncultured eukaryote. RNAcentral describes it as "bacterial SSU rRNA". It matches the Rfam family "Eukaryotic small subunit ribosomal RNA", at positions 564 to 1542 of the family's 1831-position model. The record is from RNAcentral.
GUGCCAGCAGCCGCGGUAAUUCCAGCUCCAAGAGCAUAUAUUAAAGUUGUUGCAGUUAAAAAGCUCGUAGUUGAAUAUCUGGUAUAACGUACCUGGCCCGCAUCCUUUAGGCUUGUGUGUGCCGGCGCACGUUUGCCAUCUUUCUAAAAAACGGGUCUGCCAUUAACUUGGUGGGUUCGGGAUCUAUAUCAUUUACUUUGAAAAAAUUAGAGUGUUUAAAGCAAGCAAUUGCUCUGAAUACAUUAGCAUGGAAUAAUAAUCUAGGACUUCGGUUCUAUUUUGUUGGUUUCUAAAACUGAAGUAAUGAUUGAUAGGGACAGUUGGGGGUGCUAGUAUUGGCCGGCCAGAGGUGAAAUUCUUGGAUUCGGUCAAGACUAACUUAUGCGAAAGCAUUCACCAAGGAUGUCUUCUUUAAUCAAAAACGAAAGUUGGGGGAUCAAAAACGAUCAGAUACCGUCGUACUCUCAACCAUAAACUAUGCCAACUAGGGAUGGGUGAACGUUGCUUUUUCGACUUCAUCCGCACCUUAUGAGAAAUCAAAGUCUUUGGGUUCCGGGGAGAGUAUGGUCGCAAGGCUGAAACUUAAAGGAAUUGACGGAAGGGCACCACCAGGAGUGGAGCCUGCGGCUUAAUUUGACUCAACACGGAGAAAACUUACCAGGUCCGGACAUAGGUGAGGAUUGACAGAUUGAAGAUCUUUCUUGAUUCUAUGGGUUGUGUUGCCAUCGCCGUUCUUAGGUGGGGGGGAAAGGAAUUUGGUCUGGUUAAUUUCCGUUAAACGAACGACACCUCGACUGCUAAAUAGUGACUGAUCUUUGUGGGGGUGAGGAUUGACUUCUAGAGGGUACUUUUUUUGUGUAGCAAAGUACGUACGAAGCAAUAACAGGUCUGGCAUGCCUAAGAAUGUCGGCCGCACCGCGUUAACCUGAUCGUCAUCGACUACAGCUGGACCAAAAGGCG